Molecule: small RNA, 128 nt
Filed under: Salmonella enterica
Lineage: Bacteria; Pseudomonadati; Pseudomonadota; Gammaproteobacteria; Enterobacterales; Enterobacteriaceae
Also listed under: 1 other name
Description: RtT sRNA
Rfam family: RtT RNA
About the family: This family represents a bacterial cis-regulatory element known as RtT RNA. The exact function of RtT is unknown although it is thought that it may be involved in changing the cellular response in relation to amino acid starvation.
Source: RNAcentral
GAAAAAACUCUAACUCGGUGGCCAGUUUUUGUUGACCACUUCAACCCGAGCGAAGCGAGAGAACGUUGCGUCAGCAACGGCCCGCAGGGCGAGCCACGCAGUGGCGAGUCAUCCUCUAUCACCGACCA